This is a long non-coding RNA of Rattus rattus (black rat), 2049 nucleotides long. RefSeq lists it as uncharacterized. The record is from RefSeq and is a predicted model, not a curated record. The transcript has 4 exons. Lineage: Eukaryota; Metazoa; Chordata; Mammalia; Rodentia; Muridae.
GGAGGCGAUAGCGGUAGCGGCAGCGGCGGACAGACAGACUGCGGAUCGACGCACAGACCCAAGGAUUCUCAAGCUUGGGAGCUGGCGGCAGUGCUGUGCGCGCCGCCUGGCCUGAGGGGUGGCCACCUUGCCAUGUCGCUCCGCACCCACUGAACUAGGAAAGCCCAAGGAUGUCCGCUCUGAGGAAGGCUUCCCCACCAUCUGAGGCCCGGCCAUAGUACUACGCGAUCUCACAGCAGCCUGCGAACCCCAGCCUGCACCUUGCCAGCCAAAAUGGGGACGGCUCAGGUUCUGCCCGGCAUUCUGCAGAAGCAUUGCUGCAUCUUACCAGACAGGAACACAGAGUCUCAGUGCACCCUUUGCGGAGAGCCAGAAGGUGAGUACUGCACGUCUACUCUGGUGGGCAGGGCACCAUAGUGCCUCAUGCGUUAGAUUGGCAGAGACAAGCUGCUGCCACAGAUGAGUUGAUUGGACAGUUUUGAAGUUGAAAGUAUAUUCUUUGUGGUGGUUGAUGAGCAAUGUGGAUGAGACAAAACAGAACUCGUGAGUGCCAGGCAAGAAUUUCUUCUGAUACGAAAUCAACAUGGUUGACCAGUUGGCCGUAUUUCUCUUUUUUUAAUUUCAUAUUGUGCUCGGAAAGUUUCAGCUAGUUUUCUCCAGAUAAUAGAUGUCAAUAUGCAUUUGAUAGCUUUAGAAAUAUUACCCAAACCUCCCGAUGAAGCUCACAUCAAAUGAGGCUUUGUGAAAUUACUCCUAAUUGCCAAUGACUGAACCUGAGAGGAGGUGCCAGUGAGCGCAAGCUGCCAUGCGGACGGAUGUGUCAGCCAGGUCCUGUGGUUGAGACAUUCCAGAGCGGAGCAGCUCCUGGGAUGGUGCCCAGUCAAAAUGACAUUUCCAAACAGUGAGAGCAGAUUUACAUGGUGCUUGUCAGUGGUAAGACGAAGAAGAAAGGAAAUAUGGGAGCCGUUCAGGGGACUUGAGAAGCUGGGUUUUGAUGCUGUGUGUUUUAAAGAGAUACACCAACUGCAAAACUAGCCACCCUUGGGACUUCAGGAAGACAUAGUAGCUCAGGAGUGGCCCUGGGGUCAUGCUCCAGCCCCUAUCUCCUCUCCUAACACUGGCUCUGGAACCUGGGUGUCAAGAGACUUGAAUGCCUUGUAGACAGACCAGCUGAACAGACUCUCCUGCAAAACAGCUCAAGUGCCAAGCUAGUCAGAAAAAUAUGACCAGUAGGCAAUUUCUUCAGUCUGGUGGCAAAGGAGUAUUUUGACAAAGUUUUCCAAAUUCUUUUUGUGUCAUUAAGCGUGUGAGUGCAUAACACAAAUUCAGUGGUGAUAAGGUCUGGUAUUUUACAUAAAUCUCUGUCCCCGGUCUUUUCGGGAUAAUGAGAAAAGUGUAACCUUCAAAGGAAUGAUCCUCUGUCCUAAGGCUACUGUGAGGCUCUCCUUCUUUUGGUCCUUGGAGGCACUGGGAGCUCUAUCAUUUCUUAUCAUUACAGCUUUUCUGUGUUAUCCCCAGCCUGGGAGCAAUCACUGUGUUCUGCUUCAAGUCCAAAGUUCCCUUCCCCCACUCCUGUUAAAGAUUCCAGCAUGCUAGAGGUACUAGAUGGGACAGGAAGUAAACCUCCAAGGUCGAAGCUUGAGCAAAUUCCAAUGAGUUUCAUUUGACAUUUUUUUAUAACACAAGUCUGUUGUCAGCUGAAGAUAGUGCUUGGCAUGUGAUGUGCGGUUGUCCCCAGGGGUGCCUUCUGAUUCAAGGAAAACAGGUUUUGGAUGUUGGGCAUGUCCCGGCUGAUGGCUAGAUCAUUACAGACAGUGUGGGAGCCAAGGGGUGUGGAUCCCUUUUUAGAAUUUCCAGGGCAGUGACACUAUGCCUAGGAAGGACCCAGGUCUCUUCACUGUGAGAGUCAGUGUCUGGACCCCGCAUUGUUGGAUGGUUAGGUCCUCGUCUCUCUCCUAGACACUUGGGGGAUACUACCCUGUGCCUGUCCUUGUUUAACAUCCACAUCACACAUUUUGUCAGCACACGAUACAGUGUGUAUUGCUCUAG